This 1440-nucleotide ribosomal RNA is filed under the name uncultured organism. RNAcentral describes it as "SSU rRNA". It matches the Rfam family "Bacterial small subunit ribosomal RNA". The record is from RNAcentral.
UCAGGAUGAACGCUAGCUACAGGCUUAACACAUGCAAGUCCAGGGGCAGCAUUUUAGUUUGCUUGCAAACUAAAGAUGGCGACCGGCGCACGGGUGAGUAACACGUAUCCAACCUGCCGAUAACUCGGGGAUAGCCUUUCGAAAGAAAGAUUAAUAUCCGAUAGUAUAUUAAAACCGCAUGGUUUUACUAUUAAAGAAUUUCGGUUAUCGAUGGGGAUGCGUUCCAUUAGUUUGUUGGCGGGGUAACGGCCCACCAAGACUACGAUGGAUAGGGGUUCUGAGAGGAAGGUCCCCCACAUUGGAACUGAGACACGGUCCAAACUCCCACGGGAGGCAGCAGUGAGGAAUAUUGGUCAAUGGACGAGAGUCUGAACCAGCCAAGUAGCGUGAAGGAUGACUGCCCUAUGGGUUGUAAACUUCUUUUAUAUGGGAAUAAAGUAUUCCACGUGUGGGAUUUUGUAUGUACCAUAUGAAUAAGGAUCGGCUAACUCCGUGCCAGCAGCCGCGGUAAUACGGAGGAUCCGAGCGUUAUCCGGAUUUAUUGGGUUUAAAGGGAGCGUAGGUGGAUUGUUAAGUCAGUUGUGAAAGUUUGCGGCUCAACCGUAAAAUUGCAGUUGAAACUGGCAGUCUUGAGUACAGUAGAGGUGGGCGGAAUUCGUGGUGUAGCGGUGAAAUGCUUAGAUAUCACGAAGAACUCCGAUUGCGAAGGCAGCUCACUAGACUGCAACUGACACUGAUGCUCGAAAGUGUGGGUAUCAAACAGGAUUAGAUACCCUGGUAGUCCACACAGUAAACGAUGAAUACUCGCUGUUUGCGAUAUACAGUAAGCGGCCAAGCGAAAGCAUUAAGUAUUCCACCUGGGGAGUACGCCGGCAACGGUGAAACUCAAAGGAAUUGACGGGGGCCCGCACAAGCGGAGGAACAUGUGGUUUAAUUCGAUGAUACGCGAGGAACCUUACCCGGGCUUAAAUUGCAUUUGAAUAAUCUGGAAACAGGUUAGCCGCAAGGCAAAUGUGAAGGUGCUGCAUGGUUGUCGUCAGCUCGUGCCGUGAGGUGUCGGCUUAAGUGCCAUAACGAGCGCAACCCUUAUCUUUAGUUACUAACAGGUCAUGCUGAGGACUCUAGAGAGACUGCCGUCGUAAGAUGUGAGGAAGGUGGGGAUGACGUCAAAUCAGCACGGCCCUUACGUCCGGGGCUACACACGUGUUACAAUGGGGGGUACAGAAGGCAGCUACCUGGCGACAGGAUGCUAAUCCCAAAAACCUCUCUCAGUUCGGAUCGAAGUCUGCAACCCGACUUCGUGAAGCUGGAUUCGCUAGUAAUCGCGCAUCAGCCAUGGCGCGGUGAAUACGUUCCCGGGCCUUGUACACACCGCCCGUCAAGCCAUGAAAGCCGGGGGUACCUGAAGUACGUAACCGCAAGGAGCGUCCUAGGGUAAAA